GAGUUUGAUCGUGGCUCAGAUUGAACGCUGGCGGCAGGCCUAACACAUGCAAGUCGAGCGGAUGACGGGAGCUUGCUCCUUGAUUCAGCGGCGGACGGGUGAGUAAUGCCUAGGAAUCUGCCUGGUAGUGGGGGACAACGUUUCGAAAGGAACGCUAAUACCGCAUACGUCCUACGGGAGAAAGCAGGGGACCUUCGGGCCUUGCGCUAUCAGAUGGGCCUAGGUCGGAUUAGCUAGUUGGUGGGGUAAUGGCUCACCAAGGCGACGAUCCGUAACUGGUCUGAGAGGAUGAUCAGUCACACUGGAACUGAGACACGGUCCAGACUCCUACGGGAGGCAGCAGUGGGGAAUAUUGGACAAUGGGCGAAAGCCUGAUCCAGCCAUGCCGCGUGUGUGAAGAAGGUCUUCGGAUUGUAAAGCACUUUAAGUUGGGAGGAAGGGCAGUAAGUUAAUACCUUGCUGUUUUGACGUUACCGACAGAAUAAGCACCGGCUAA
RNAcentral lists this ribosomal RNA (496 nucleotides) under bacterium enrichment culture clone ALO1_GLFRUDD03F9S2G. Its description in RNAcentral is "bacterial SSU rRNA". It matches the Rfam family "Bacterial small subunit ribosomal RNA", at positions 9 to 500 of the family's 1533-position model. The record is from RNAcentral.